GACAUCUACAAUGAAAGGGAUCUCUUCAAGACUGAGGAGCCCGCCACAGAGGAGGAAGAGGAGUCUGCUGGUGAUGGAGAACGAACCUUGGAUGGAGAGCUAGACCUGCUAGAGCAGGACCCUCUGGUGCCACCUCCACCCUCACAGGCACCCCUCUCUGCUGAGCGGGUGGCUUUUCCCAAGGGCCUGCCCUGGGCCCCAAAGGUCAGACAGAAGGACAUUGAGCACUUCUUGGAGAUGAGCAGGAACAAGUUCAUCGGAUUCACCCUGGGGCAGGACACAGAUACAUUGGUUGGAUUACCCAGGCCCAUCCAUGAGAGUGUGAAGACCCUAAAGCAGCACAAGUAUAUCUCCAUCGCAGAUGUGCAGAUCAAGAAUGAAGAGGAGCUGGAGAAGUGCCCUAUGUCUUUGGUGAGCCAAGGAAGCCCUACACAGGAGGAGAGUAGAAGAAAACCUGUCUGCAGUGUUGUCACAGAGCAUGUGUGCAUGCAUUCAUUCAGCAUAUUAGGCUGUAACUGUGUUCCAGGCAAGACAAGGUCCCUACUUUCAUGAUAUAUUGAAGUUGGGGAAGAAAGAUAAAAAUAAA
RNAcentral lists this small RNA (586 nucleotides) under Pan troglodytes (chimpanzee). Its description in RNAcentral is "retained intron". The record is from RNAcentral. Lineage: Eukaryota; Metazoa; Chordata; Mammalia; Primates; Hominidae.